RNAcentral lists this ribosomal RNA (309 nucleotides) under uncultured bacterium. RNAcentral's name for it is "partial 16S ribosomal RNA". It matches the Rfam family "Bacterial small subunit ribosomal RNA", at positions 504 to 808 of the family's 1533-position model. The record is from RNAcentral.
AGAGACAGCAGUGCCGCGGUAAUACGUAGGGUGCAAGCGUUAAUCGGAAUUACUGGGCGUAAAGCGUGCGCAGGCGGUUAUAUAAGACAGAUGUGAAAUCCCCGGGCUCAACCUGGGAACUGCAUUUGUGACUGUAUAGCUAGAGUACGGCAGAGGGGGAUGGAAUUCCGCGUGUAGCAGUGAAAUGCGUAGAUAUGCGGAGGAACACCGAUGGCGAAGGCAAUCCCCUGGGCCUGUACUGACGCUCAUGCACGAAAGCGUGGGGAGCAAACAGGAUUAGAUACCCCCGUAGUCCCUGUCUCUUAUACA